CACUGUCGUUGCAAUGUUGAUACAUCAAAGAUGUUAUUUCAAUAAUGUGUUUUACGGUGUGACAGUGUUUGAGGGCGAAGCAAAAAAGUUUUGGCAUUAGUAUCUAUAUCCAAAACAGGACAAAACAACCCGAAGUUAGCACGCAGACGGAACUGUAUCAAAGCAUUCUAAUUUUGGACAUUUGAUCCGCCUAUAUAUUGAACGUGGGAAAUAUAACGCAAAUUGAUGUAAACAGAACAUUGUGACGUCAUAUUCAGCGUCGUUAUUUAGCAAAUUUACAAACAUAGCGUUUGAACCACAACAAAAAACAUGGCGUUAAUCGUGGAGUGAUUAUAUAUGAUUAAGAAAAUAAGGUUCACAUGCUUUUACGGAUUUUAUGUGUAACAUCUCAGAACGACGUGAACUAGGGUAGACGAGAUUCAAAAUGGAGGAAUACAUGUCCACGCGCUAAUAUUCGAAUCGACGCCAUUGGUACCAAACUUUUCAAGUUCCAUAGAUGAAGGGGAUCAUGAUAUUAACAGUUUUUGUUGUAGCAUUGAUGUUGGUAGAUGAGGGAACGACAGAUAUGACCACCAUUAGUAUAACUACGGCUGCACCAACAG
Long non-coding RNA from Ostrea edulis (European flat oyster), 602 nucleotides. RefSeq lists it as uncharacterized. The transcript is spliced from 3 exons. The record is from RefSeq and is a predicted model, not a curated record. NCBI's taxonomy places the organism in Eukaryota, Metazoa, Mollusca, Bivalvia, Ostreida, Ostreidae.